Molecule: ribosomal RNA, 465 nt
Filed under: Vreelandella stevensii
Lineage: Bacteria; Pseudomonadati; Pseudomonadota; Gammaproteobacteria; Oceanospirillales; Halomonadaceae
Description: partial 16S ribosomal RNA
Rfam family: Bacterial small subunit ribosomal RNA
Source: RNAcentral
CCUACGGGAGGCAGCAGUGGGGAAUAUUGGACAAUGGGCGAAAGCCUGAUCCAGCCAUGCCGCGUGUGUGAAGAAGGCCUUCGGGUUGUAAAGCACUUUCAGUGGGGAAGAAAGCCUUGGGGCUAAUACCCUCGAGGAAGGACAUCACCCACAGAAGAAGCACCGGCUAACUCCGUGCCAGCAGCCGCGGUAAUACGGAGGGUGCGAGCGUUAAUCGGAAUUACUGGGCGUAAAGCGCGCGUAGGCGGUCUGAUAAGCCGGUUGUGAAAGCCCCGGGCUCAACCUGGGAACGGCAUCCGGAACUGUCAGGCUAGAGUGCAGGAGAGGAAGGUAGAAUUCCCGGUGUAGCGGUGAAAUGCGUAGAGAUCGGGAGGAAUACCAGUGGCGAAGGCGGCCUUCUGGACUGACACUGACGCUGAGGUGCGAAAGCGUGGGUAGCAAACAGGAUUAGAUACCCUAGUAGUC